RNAcentral lists this ribosomal RNA (887 nucleotides) under uncultured bacterium. RNAcentral describes it as "bacterial SSU rRNA". It matches the Rfam family "Bacterial small subunit ribosomal RNA", at positions 11 to 916 of the family's 1533-position model. The record is from RNAcentral.
GUUUGAUNCUGGCUCAGGACGAACGCNGGCGGCGCGCCUAACACAUGCAAGUCGAACGAAGUAAGUUUUUCGGAAUGUACUUAGUGGCGGACGGGUGAGUAACGCGUGAAUAAUCUGCCCCAUACAGGGGGAUAGCCUCGGGAAACCNGGAUUAAAACCGCAUGAUGCUUUUUUAUCGCAUGGUAGAGAAGUCAAAUCGAAUAAGAGGUAUGGGAUGAGUUCGCGUCUGAUUAGCUGGUUGGCGGGGUAAGAGCCCACCAAGGCGACGAUCAGUAGCCGGCCUGAGAGGGUGACCGGCCACACUGGAACUGAGACACGGUCCAGACUCCUACGGGAGGCAGCAGUGGGGAAUAUUGCACAAUGGAGGGAACUCUGAUGCAGCGACGCCGCGUGAGUGAAGAAGGUCUUCGGAUCGUAAGACUCUGUCCUUGGUGACGAAGAAAAUGACGGUAGCCAAGGAGGAAGCCCCGGCUAACUACGUGCCAGCAGCCGCGGUAAUACGUAGGGGGCGAGCGUUGUCCGGAUUUACUGGGCGUAAAGGGUGAGUAGGCGGUUAUAUAUGUCAGGUGUAAAAAGCUAUGGCUUAACCAUAGUAAGCACUUGAAACUGUAUGACUUGAGUGCAGGAGAGGUAAGCGGAAUUCCUAGUGUAGCGGUGAAAUGCGUAGAUAUUAGGAGGAACACCGGUGGCGAAGGCGGUUUACUGGACUGUAACUGACGCUGAGUCACGAAAGCGUGGGUAGCAAACAGGAUUAGAUACCCUGGUAGUCCACGCCGUAAACGAUGAGUGCUAGGUGUUGGGUAGCAAUGCUCAGUGCCGAAGUAAACACAAUAAGCACUCCGCCUGGGGAGUACGUACGCAAGUAUGAAACUCAAAUGAAUUGACGG